This 72-nucleotide transfer RNA is filed under the name Siphoviridae sp. cteHV32. RNAcentral's name for it is "tRNA-Gln". It matches the Rfam family "tRNA". Rfam says of the family: Transfer RNA (tRNA) molecules are approximately 80 nucleotides in length. Their secondary structure includes four short double-helical elements and three loops (D, anti-codon, and T loops). RNAcentral also lists the same sequence under 1 other name. Lineage: Duplodnaviria; Heunggongvirae; Uroviricota; Caudoviricetes. The record is from RNAcentral.
AGCGCAUUGGCGAAGCGGUAACGCACCGGACUUUGACUCCGGCAUGCGUGGGUUCGAAUCCCACAUGCGCCG